Molecule: long non-coding RNA, 1055 nt
Organism: Carya illinoinensis
Lineage: Eukaryota; Viridiplantae; Streptophyta; Magnoliopsida; Fagales; Juglandaceae
Exons: 2
Source: RefSeq, a predicted model, not a curated record
AUGAAAUGCAAAAAAAUGCCACCGACGGAGAGACUGGGUAUCAGACAAAAAAUGCAAAAAUGCUCAAAAGUACACUGGGUUGCAGAUGGCAAGACACUUCACUUCGUCUUUGUGGCUGGAGGUUUUCUUCUUCGUGCAUAAAUGAUGGAGUGACAAAUUUUGUGGAUUGCCAUUGUUGAUCUGUGCACCGUGGGUUGGACCUGAGUGCAUUUUGAAUCUAGGUUCAUCCUGCUUCUCCAGCACCCAAGUCGUCUAGCACAGGCAUUGCCUAGUGCCACCCUACAACAGCCAUCUCUCCACCUAGAUCCACCCCGCACUGCCCAUCCCUCUGUUCUAUGCCACCCGUCAUUCCUCCUCUAUCGCCCUUCAAAUUUAAACAUCCCGAGUCACCCCAACACUUGCGUUGUGUCACUUGCCCAGUGCCACCCCGCAACAGCCAUCCCUCGGCCUAGUGCCACCCACCAACGAUCACUUUCUCAAAGAGAAGGUACGGGUUGCUGAAGAAAGCACAUGAGAUCUCUGUGCUUUGUGAUGCUGAGGUGGCUUUAGUUGUUUUCUCUACCAAAGGGAAGCUCUUUGAGAGAGGUGACUCCCCUAGGUGCCGCAUGAAGUGUACUCCACAGACUGUAAGGCUAUCAUCUCUAUGUUGGAGCUUGGAAGGUUGGAGGACUUGAAGUUGUUGUGCUGGAGAAAGCUCGAAAAUGGAAGCAUGAGUUGAGGUGGGAUUUAACUGAAAAAUUAAGUAUUUUUGCCGUUUGGUUCAGAGGCGUCUCCAUUGUUUAAAUAAUCUCAAUGGUUUGUAGGCACUAGGAUUUGUGGAUGGAUUUAUUGUAUGGGCGGGUUGUGGAGACCCUAUGUUGUGAUUCCUCAUGAAUUGGGAGUACAUGAAUGUGAUUCCUAAAGUGUACCUUCACUUUUGUGCGACAAAAUUAGGAAUGGGAGAGAGGUGUCGGGCAAUGCAUUCGAUAGAAAAUUUCCUUUUGCUUGAUUUGGACGCUAUAUAAGGAAUCAAUGUAUAUACAUUAAAAAUUUUGUUCAUUAUAUGUUUCUAUCAA